GUCCCUCCUUCCCCAUGAGCUGUCCUUACACCCUACGGCCCCGACAAACUUACUGAUAUUUCCUAACAAUGACCCACUGUUCUUCCAUCUCUCCUCCUGAUUCUGCAUUGUAAAAUAUAACCCCCCACCCCACUUUCCCAGUAGGCUGGACAAGGGGAAGAGCCAGGAAGGCUAAGCCAAGGUCACUGCAGCAGCUGGGGCAAGAAGGAGCCUGGUCACAUGUGUUCUUCAUUUCUGGUCCCCACACCACUGUUGGUUGUAUGCUAUGCCAGCCAGUCUCCUAGAUUACCUCCUGUAAUUUAGUCCUCACGGCAAUCCUACGUGGUAGGUAUUGACAUCUUUGCUUCACUGAUGGAAAAAACCACAGUCAGAGAAAUCGAGUAACUUGCCAGGUAUCGUGCUAUAGAGAAUGCUAGNNNNNNNNNNNNNNNNNNNNNNNNNNNNNNNNNNNNNNNNNNNNNAGGGCGUUGCCUCUAAGUCGUGUACAUCCUAAGGUUCCAUGUUCUUUCAGUUGCCAAAUUUGUUGGGUGGGAAACACAAUGAUAAAACUCUUCGGUGUUUGCUUGAGGCAGUUACAUCUGUUUUCAGCCAAGAUCUUGAAAGCUUAGUAGCUAACUGAAAAAGAGUAGGUUCUCCCCAAGCUCUGUGGAGUGAAAUCUGUUUUGUUUGGAAACACAGAGGCCAGUAAGUUCUCUGGUCCACUGUUCCAACACGUCAGAUGCAAUUGCUUUCUGACUCUUUCAGUCUGUUAGCAGCUUCAUGACCAAGGUAGUGCUCAAGUUAGGCAGUGUGCAAUCUAAGGAAUUGAACAGAGAUGGGAGCUGGGAGGAACUUUCACAGGAUAUGGGAGAUUUUAAGCAGUUUCUUUGUCACAAACAUAAAAUAAAGAUACUUUCUGACAAACAUGUUGAUUCAGCGUGUGAAUUUGUGAACUUGAUAUCAGCACCUCAAGGGUAAGGUAUCCUAAGGAUGCAUUUUGUGGCGACCUAAUACUAGCUCGCAGUUUAUACCUUGGUUGAAAGCUAGUGUUAAUUUAGGCAGGGAGGGGAGAGGGCCCCUGCAAGGACAGGAGACCAAGAAGCAAAACAGUCACAUUCCACAAUUACAAACAGAAAAUGCAGAGUAAUGAGUGAGAGAAGAUGAGGCAAAGUAGAUGAGGCAGGAUGAACAGGGACGGACAAGCAAGUGCGGGAGUCCAUGAACUGAAGACAUGGAACGCAAGAAGGAAAGACCAAGACACAGGGAGCCGUAGGCAAGAACACCACCCCGUGUUAACAAGGUGCUCUCUAACAUAUGGUGUUAAGACUUUUUCCUAGGUUUCAGUAGAAACUUAAGCCUAGUGUGCAGAGGGCUUUCAUGUGAGUUCUCUUUCUGCUUGCCUGAGAUUAUAUUUGUUCCAUCAGGAGGAAAAUCACUUGAAAGUAGAGACACUAAUAUUUAUCAUUAUCCACAUCAGUUCAUAGUAAACUAUGAGAAUCAGAGCAAAGUGAA
This 1491-nucleotide long non-coding RNA is filed under the name Capra hircus (goat). RNAcentral describes it as "lncRNA (ENSCHIG00010018245.1)". The record is from RNAcentral. Lineage: Eukaryota; Metazoa; Chordata; Mammalia; Artiodactyla; Bovidae.